Acanthosepion pharaonis is the source of this 107-nucleotide non-coding RNA. Lineage: Eukaryota; Metazoa; Mollusca; Cephalopoda; Sepiida; Sepiidae. The record is from the annotation of a GenBank genome assembly.
CAGCCACAUCACGUUGAAACAUCUUUUCCUGUAAGAUCACCGAAGUUAAGCAACAUCGAGCCUAGUCUGUACCUAGAUGGGUGACCGCUUGGGAAUACCAUUGGGUG